This 408-nucleotide ribosomal RNA is filed under the name uncultured bacterium. RNAcentral's name for it is "bacterial SSU rRNA". It matches the Rfam family "Bacterial small subunit ribosomal RNA", at positions 354 to 777 of the family's 1533-position model. The record is from RNAcentral.
GUGGGGAAUAUUGGGCAAUGGGCGCAAGCCUGACCCAGCAACGCCGCGUGAAGGAAGAAGGCUUUCGGGUUGUAAACUUCUUUUAAGAGGGAAGAGCAGAAGACGGUACCUCUUGAAUAAGCCACGGCUAACUACGUGCCAGCAGCCGCGGUAAUACGUAGGUGGCAAGCGUUGUCCGGAUUUACUGGGUGUAAAGGGCGUGCAGCCGGGAAGACAAGUCAGAUGUGAAAUCCCGCGGCUCAACCGCGGAACUGCAUUUGAAACUGUUUUUCUUGAGUACCGGAGAGGUCAUCGGAAUUCCUUGUGUAGCGGUGAAAUGCGUAGAUAUAAGGAAGAACACCAGUGGCGAAGGCGGAUGACUGGACGGCAACUGACGGUGAGGCGCGAAAGCGUGGGGAGCAAACAGGA